GAUGGGAGAGUCGAAGAGGGGAUCCUAGAGUUGGAACCUAGGGGUGGUGAAGGAUGUAGGCGCGCUGGAGUAAAGCCCUGGAAGCCGAGAUGGGCCCCCAGCGCAGAGUGCCGCAACCCCGAUCCCGCUCCGUGUCCCGACCCCGACCCGGCCCCCGUUCGCGCUCUCGCCCAGGACCCUCUGGGGGCUGCCGGAGGCCGGCGCGGCGCGCACGAGGGUGAGUCAGACCCCAGGAGGAUGAGGGCUCUGAGGCCAGAACGGCACACGCUGUGGCUGGAACAUGUAUAGAGGUGCCCACCCUGGAUGAGAUGCCCCGUCGACACCCAUCAACGCUCAGCUUUAGAUCCAAGAACCACUCUGAACGGAAACUACAGGAAGGAGACUCGACCCUCUCUCCCCAACCAUCUAGUGCUUAUUUCACAGAUGGGGAAACUGAGGACCAUUUGAUAACACAAUGAGACAGUGUUUUGGGACUUAAGUUCCUUCUAAUGACAGUGUUGCUUCAUCCCACAGACAUGAAGACUUAAGUCCAGCCCUAGCUCAAGAGUGACCUGGAAGGGUCACUUCUCCUCUCUGGGCCUCAGUUUACCUAGUCUGUAAGUUGAGUGGAAUCAUGUUUAGUGAGCCAGCCUAUCAACUGACUGAGAUGUCACAAUGGGAAAAACUACAGACCCCUCUUCCUAUGAGGAGGGUAUGAAACUCCCAAAUGGAAUUUUAGCAAAAGGAAUUAAGCAACACCCUUCUUAAAUACAUCACAACAAAGGGGACUUAUGCCUGAGAUGCAGGGAUGAUUCGAUAUUCACAAGUCUGCUAAUAAAAUUCACCAUACUAAUGGAUCAAAUGAGAAAA
RNA transcript from Callorhinus ursinus (northern fur seal), 849 nucleotides. It is a transcript of the gene named coiled-coil domain containing 194, with no coding region annotated. NCBI's taxonomy places the organism in Eukaryota, Metazoa, Chordata, Mammalia, Carnivora, Otariidae. The record is from RefSeq and is a predicted model, not a curated record.